UUUCCGUAGGUGAACCUGCGGAAGGAUCAUUAUCGAAUUUCGAGGGGAAGGAAGAUGAGGAGUGGAGACUGUCGCUGGCUUUCCCGCCUGGGAAGCAUGUGCACGCCUUGCUUUUCGUUGACCUUUCUCUUACUCUCACACCUGUGCACCCAUUGUAGGUCCUCGAAAGAGGAUCUAUGGUUUUAUCAUCACACGCAUCGUAUGUCCAUAUAAUGUAACAUGAUCGUCGAUCGACCUCGCGGUCGGGUGGCGGUCUAAAUAAAUAGAUCCAACUUUCAGCAACGGAUCUCUUGGCUCUC
Molecule: unclassified non-coding RNA, 299 nt
Filed under: plant metagenome
Description: partial contains small subunit ribosomal RNA, internal transcribed spacer 1, and 5.8S ribosomal RNA
Source: RNAcentral